AGAGUUUGAUCAUGGCUCAGAAUCAACGCUGGCGGCGUGCCUCAGACAUGCAAGUCGAACGCGAAGGCCCCCUUCGGGGGGCAAGUAGAGUGGCGCACGGGUGAGUAACACGUAGGUAAUCUACCUUUGGAUGGGGAAUAACAACCGGAAACGGUUGCUAAUACCGCAUAAUGCAGCGGCACCUAAUGGUGACAGUUGUUAAAGCGGGGGAUCGCAAGACCUCGCGUCUGAAGAGGAGCCUGCGGCAGAUUAGCUAGUUGGUAGGGUAACGGCUUACCAAGGCGAUGAUCUGUAGCCGGCCUGAGAGGGCGGUCGGCCACACUGACACUGACAUACGGGUCAGACUCCUACGGGAGGCAGCAGUCGGGAAUUUUGGGCAAUGGGCGGAAGCCUGACCCAGCAACGCCGCGUGAAGGAUGAAAUCCCUCGGGAUGUAAACUUCGCAAGAACGGGAAGAAUAAGUCUGCGCAAAUAUCGCAGAUGAUGACGGUACCGUUUGUAAGCUCCGGCUAACUCCGUGCCAGCAGCGGCGGUAAUAC
RNAcentral lists this ribosomal RNA (539 nucleotides) under uncultured bacterium. RNAcentral's name for it is "bacterial SSU rRNA". It matches the Rfam family "Bacterial small subunit ribosomal RNA", at positions 8 to 526 of the family's 1533-position model. The record is from RNAcentral.